RNAcentral lists this ribosomal RNA (1999 nucleotides) under Drosophila melanogaster (fruit fly). RNAcentral's name for it is "SSU rRNA". The stretch from base 673 to 1999 matches the Rfam family "Eukaryotic small subunit ribosomal RNA". The record is from RNAcentral. Lineage: Eukaryota; Metazoa; Arthropoda; Insecta; Diptera; Drosophilidae.
UGUAGUUCCGUUAUUCUCGGCGUUCUACUUCUACUUUUCCUUCUCCUUUUCGAUGAAAUUGCUGUUCUUCGUUUUGCAUUUAUUUAACAUAGAAUUGUUGCGGUCACUCCUCCUGGCUGGGUGAAUGUUGUCCUUUUUGCCUGGGCUACUGGGGAAUCCACGUCAGCACUCCAAAGAAGGUUUUCUGCGGGCUGGCCUGACAGAAACUGUGAUCCACCAAUGGGCAAUGCUAUGCCGAUAAGUAUUUUCCUCUUCCGGAAAAUCUGUUUUUUUCUCAAACAAUUUUAUUUUAUAGCCGACCGUGAAUUUUGUUUGUUAAUAACUCGCGGGAGUUUCUUCGGCACAAUUUAACCAACGAAUAUUUUUUAGCAAAAUUUUGAUUUUGCUCCGCGACUUAGAAUUUUGUCUUUCGUUCGCGUUUAUUCGCUGGUCCCUGUUCGGGCGCCAGUUAAUAAUUACAGUUAUCGAUUUGAUUUUGAAGAUCGCAAGCGACCGUUUAUUGCAAUUUAUCAUUUGAAACUAAAUCUAGCGUACAAAAUGUUUCCCUAAGUCCCUAGCAAUCAAGUGAAGUCGUCGGCAGCGGCGCAGCAGGCGUCGGCCGCGGCGCAGCGCAGAAGUGUCGAUGUCGCGCUUAACCGUUCGUUGGCGUUGAUGGCAGCGGAGACUAUGUGGAACCACAAGAUGUUAGAGAAUCAAUUGCAGGGCAAUAACUUGUAUGUAAGCGUAUUACCGGUGGAGUUCUUAUAUGUGAUUAAAUACUUGUAUUUUUUCAUAUGUUCCUCCUAUUUAAAAACCUGCAUUAGUGCUCUUAAACGAGUGUUAUUGUGGGCCGGUACUAUUACUUUGAACAAAUUAGAGUGCUUAAAGCAGGCUUCAAAUGCCUGAAUAUUCUGUGCAUGGAUAAUGAAAUAAGACCUCUGUUCUGCUUUCAUUGGUUUUCAGAUCAAGAGGUAAUGAUUAAUAGAAGCAGUUUGGGGGCAUUAGUAUUACGACGCGAGAGGUGAAAUUCUUGGACCGUCGUAAGACUAACUUAAGCGAAAGCAUUUGCCAAAGAUGUUUUCAUUAAUCAAGAACGAAAGUUAGAGGUUCGAAGGCGAUCAGAUACCGCCCUAGUUCUAACCAUAAACGAUGCCAGCUAGCAAUUGGGUGUAGCUACUUUUAUGGCUCUCUCAGUCGCUUCCCGGGAAACCAAAGCUUUUGGGCUCCGGGGGAAGUAUGGUUGCAAAGCUGAAACUUAAAGGAAUUGACGGAAGGGCACCACCAGGAGUGGAGCCUGCGGCUUAAUUUGACUCAACACGGGAAAACUUACCAGGUCCGAACAUAAGUGUGUAAGACAGAUUGAUAGCUCUUUCUCGAAUCUAUGGGUGGUGGUGCAUGGCCGUUCUUAGUUCGUGGAGUGAUUUGUCUGGUUAAUUCCGAUAACGAACGAGACUCAAAUAUAUUAAAUAGAUAUCUUCAGGAUUAUGGUGCUGAAGCUUAUGUAGCCUUCAUUCAUGUUGGCAGUAAAAUGCUUAUUGUGUUUGAAUGUGUUUAUGUAAGUGGAGCCGUACCUGUUGGUUUGUCCCAUUAUAAGGACACUAGCUUCUUAAAUGGACAAAUUGCGUCUAGCAAUAAUGAGAUUGAGCAAUAACAGGUCUGUGAUGCCCUUAGAUGUCCUGGGCUGCACGCGCGCUACAAUAAAAGUAUCAACGUGUAUUUCCUAGACCGAGAGGUCCGGGUAAACCGCUGAACCACUUUCAUGCUUGGGAUUGUGAACUGAAACUGUUCACAUGAACUUGGAAUUCCCAGUAAGUGUGAGUCAUUAACUCGCAUUGAUUACGUCCCUGCCCUUUGUACACACCGCCCGUCGCUACUACCGAUUGAAUUAUUUAGUGAGGUCUCCGGACGUGAUCACUGUGACGCCUUGCGUGUUACGGUUGUUUCGCAAAAGUUGACCGAACUUGAUUAUUUAGAGGAAGUAAAAGUCGUAACAAGGUUUCCGUAGGUGAACCUGCGGAAG